GACGAACGCUGGCGGCGUGCCUAAUACAUGCAAGUCGAACGAAGCUGUUUUAACUGGUGCUUGCACCGACUUAAACAACUGAGUGGCGAACGGGUGAGUAACACGUGGGUAACCUGCCCCAAAGCGGGGGAUAACAUUUGGAAACAGAUGCUAAUACCGCAUAACCACAGAAACCACAUGGUUUCUGUGUCAAAGAUGGUUUCGGCUAUCACUUUGGGAUGGACCCGCGGCGUAUUAGCUAGUUGGUAAGGUAAUGGCUUACCAAGGCAAUGAUGCGUAGGCGAACUGAGGCGUUGGUCGGCCACAUGGGAACGGAGAGACGGCCCAAACACCUACGGGGGGAAGCAGUAGUGAAUAUUACACAAGGGAGGAACGUCUGAUGGGGCAACGCCGCGUGAGUGAAGAAGGUUUUCGGAUCGUAAAACUCUGUUGUCAGAGAAGAACGUGUGCGAGAGUAACUGUUCGUGCAGUGACGGUAUCUGGCCAGAAAGCCACGGCUAACUACGUGCCAGCAGCCGCCGUAA
This 524-nucleotide ribosomal RNA is filed under the name uncultured bacterium. Its description in RNAcentral is "partial 16S ribosomal RNA". It matches the Rfam family "Bacterial small subunit ribosomal RNA", at positions 28 to 523 of the family's 1533-position model. The record is from RNAcentral.